Molecule: transfer RNA, 73 nt
Filed under: Anguilla anguilla (European eel)
Lineage: Eukaryota; Metazoa; Chordata; Actinopteri; Anguilliformes; Anguillidae
Description: tRNA-OTHER
Source: RNAcentral
GCAUAGUGGUGCAGUGGGUAGCACUAUUGCCUCACAGCAUGAAGGUCCUGGGUUUGAAUCCUAGGCCUGGGCC